GACGAACGCUGGCGGCGUGCUUAACACAUGCAAGUCGAACGGAAAGGCCUGCUUUCCCUUGUGGAUUGCGGGUACUCGAGUGGCGAACGGGUGAGUAACACGUGAGUGAUCUGCCCCCAACUUGGGUAUAAGCCUGGGAAACUGGGUCUAAUUCCCGAUAGGACUGCAGGGUGGUGCCUGUGGUGGAAAACGAUUUUCUAGUGGUUGGGGAUGAGCUCGCGGCCUAUCAGCUUGUUGGUGGGGUAAUGGCCUACCAAGGCGGCGACGGGUAGCCGGCCUGAGAGGGUGGACGGCCACAUUGGGACUGAGGUACGGCCCAGACUCCUACGGGAGGCAGCAGUGGGGAAUAUUGCACAAGGGGCGGAAGCCUGAUGCAGCGACGCCGCGUGGGGGAUGACGGCCUUCGGGUUGUAAACUCCUUUCGACCGCGAGGAAGCCACCUGGUUGGAAGGGUGGUGACGGUAGUGGUAGAAGAAGCACCGGCUAACUACGUG
Molecule: ribosomal RNA, 494 nt
Filed under: uncultured bacterium
Lineage: Bacteria
Description: partial 16S ribosomal RNA
Rfam family: Bacterial small subunit ribosomal RNA
Source: RNAcentral